UAGGGAAUAUUGGUUAAUGGGCGAAAGCCUGAACCAGCAACGCCGCGUGCACGAUGACGGCCUUCGGGUUGUAAAGUGCUUUUUGGAGGGAAGAGGAAGGACGGUACCUCCAGAAUAAGUCUCGGCUAACUACGUGCCAGCAGCCGCGGUAACACGUAGGAGACAAGCGUUAUUCGGAUUUACUGGGCGUAAAGCGCGUGCAGGCGGUCUGACAAGUUGGAUGUGAAAGCUCCUGGCUUAACUGGGAGAGGUCGUUCAAAACUAUCAGACUAGAGAGUGGUAGAGGAAGGCGGAAUUCCGGGUGUAGUGGUGAAAUGCGUAGAUAUCCGGAGGAACACCAGUGGCGAAAGCGGCCUUCUGGACCAAUUCUGACGCUCAGACGCGAAAGCUAGGGUAGCGAACGGG
RNAcentral lists this ribosomal RNA (405 nucleotides) under uncultured bacterium. Its description in RNAcentral is "bacterial SSU rRNA". It matches the Rfam family "Bacterial small subunit ribosomal RNA", at positions 355 to 776 of the family's 1533-position model. RNAcentral also lists the same sequence under 2 other names. The record is from RNAcentral.